Molecule: ribosomal RNA, 447 nt
Filed under: uncultured fungus
Lineage: Eukaryota; Fungi
Description: eukaryotic LSU rRNA
Rfam family: 5.8S ribosomal RNA (bases 86-239)
Source: RNAcentral
GGCUACCGGCUCAGGCUGGUAAGCGCCUGCCAGAGGACCCCAAACUCUGAAUAUUAGUGUUGUCUGAGUACUAUAAAAUAGUUAAAACUUUCAACAACGGAUCUCUUGGUUCUGGCAUCGAUGAAGAACGCAGCGAAAUGCGAUAAGUAAUGUGAAUUGCAGAAUUCAGUGAAUCAUCGAAUCUUUGAACGCACAUUGCGCCCCUUGGUAUUCCGAGGGGCAUGCCUGUUCGAGCGUCAUUACAACCCUCAAGCACUGCUUGGUAUUGGGCCCCGCUGGUUUCAGCGGGCCUUAAAAUCAGUGGCAGCGCCGUCUGAGCUCUGAGCGUAGUAAAUAUCCUCGCUAUAGAGACCAGGUGGUUCUUGUCAUCAACCCCCAACUUUCUAAGUUUGACCUCGGAUCAGGUAGGGAUACCCGCUGAACUUAAGCAUAUCAAUAAGCGGAGGA